AGAAGGACCAAUUUGGAAACUCGGGAUGAGGUAACCUGUGCUAAUACAUCUGCUAUCUUCAAGAAUGCUUGGUGGCAGUAUCGGAAUUACCUGAAAAAAACGUACUUCACCGGCAAAGAAACUCAUCAAAUUCCCUUACGUUCUCCCGAGACACAUUUACUGGACGAUGACUGGGAACGCCUUGUUCUGUACUGGUCCCGAACCAAGAAUGUG
Molecule: ribosomal RNA, 213 nt
Filed under: Triticum aestivum (bread wheat)
Lineage: Eukaryota; Viridiplantae; Streptophyta; Magnoliopsida; Poales; Poaceae
Description: partial small subunit ribosomal RNA
Source: RNAcentral